Molecule: ribosomal RNA, 357 nt
Filed under: Listeria monocytogenes
Lineage: Bacteria; Bacillati; Bacillota; Bacilli; Caryophanales; Listeriaceae
Description: bacterial LSU rRNA
Rfam family: Bacterial large subunit ribosomal RNA
Source: RNAcentral
AUCUGGGCACUGUCUCAACGAGAGACUCGGUGAAAUUAUAGUACCUGUGAAGAUGCAGGUUACCCGCGACAGGACGGAAAGACCCCGUGGAGCUUUACUGCAACCUGAUAUGGAAUGUUUGUACCGCUUGUACAGGCUAGGUAGGAGCCGAAGAGACGUGUGCGCUAGCAUACGAGGAGGCAAUGGUGGGAUACUACCCUGGCUGUAUGACCAUUCUAACCCGCCACGCUUAGCGCGUGGGGAGACAGUGUCAGGUGGGCAGUUUGACUGGGGCGGUCGCCUCCUAAAGAGUAACGGAGGCGCCCAAAGGUUCCCUCAGAAUGGAUGGAAAUCAUUCGCAGAGUGUAAAGGCACAAG